Molecule: ribosomal RNA, 250 nt
Filed under: uncultured bacterium
Lineage: Bacteria
Description: partial 16S ribosomal RNA
Rfam family: Bacterial small subunit ribosomal RNA
Source: RNAcentral
UACGAAGGGGGCUAGCGUUGCUCGGAAUCACUGGGCGUAAAGCGCACGUAGGCGGCUUUUUAAGUCAGGGGUGAAAUCCUGGAGCUCAACUCCAGAACUGCCUUUGAUACUGAGAGCUUGAGUCCGGGAGAGGUGAGUGGAACUGCGAGUGUAGAGGUGAAAUUCGUAGAUAUUCGCAAGAACACCAGUGGCGAAGGCGGCUCACUGGCCCGGUACUGACGCUGAGGUGCGAAAGCGUGGGAGCAACAGG